RNAcentral lists this long non-coding RNA (2989 nucleotides) under Solanum lycopersicum (tomato). RNAcentral's name for it is "long non-coding RNA (SLYC_LNC000825)". The stretch from base 980 to 1284 matches the Rfam family "Plant signal recognition particle RNA". Lineage: Eukaryota; Viridiplantae; Streptophyta; Magnoliopsida; Solanales; Solanaceae. The record is from RNAcentral.
AACAACGGAACUUGUUGCUAAUAAUCCUAUCACCGAGAGUAAAUUUGAGCCACCAAAGUCCAAGAGCUGGAGCAAGCUGAAGAAAUUGAUCCUCCUUAAGAGAUCAAUAAAGGUAUUGGAAAGAGCUCGAAAAGUCAAUCCACAACCCCCUCAACUUUUGCCCCCUACACCUGAUCAAGAACAAGAAAAAGUGGAUUUGAGGAACCAAAUGUCAAAUGAGAGGAAAAAAGCUGAACAAUGGAUGCUCGAUAAUGCAGUGCAGCGCAUGGUCAGUAAGCUAACUCCUGCACGGAAAACAAGAGUGGCGAUGCUUGUGGAAGCUUUCGAAGCAGUUGUUCCACUCCCAGAAGUAUGAAUUCAACUGGAGUGGACUAAACUUUAGUCAAGAAAAUUCCUUGAGAACCUUUUUACGCGAAAUGUAAAGGUAAGCAAAUUAACUACCUACACUUCCUAGAAAUAGCUAAAGGUAACUCAUUAAUAGAGGAUCUUUUUUGCUUUCCCUUUUCAUUGUGUUCCUUGAAUAAGAGCUUGGAGGGGUAACAUUUGAGGGAUCGAAACGAGCUUAUGCACUCGUUUGAUUCUUCUACUCCACAGCGAGGACGCAGACAAGAGUUUGCACCUAUCAUUAGAGGCUAACUGAGGAUGAAAGAACAGUCUUUUUAUCAUGAUAUGUGAUCAAAAAAUCGACUAUUGUACAGAUAAAUAAAACGUAAUUUCGGAAGCUUGAUCAUUCCUUCAGCACAACCAUAUGAUUUUUGUUUUUGGAUUAAUGAAUGGAAGAAACUUUGACUCAUGAGAGUAUAUGAAUCAAUGAAAAUGUUAUCUGAUGCACAAUUUCCUACCUGUUUAUAUUCACCUUAUUAAUUCAUCAUCAAAUAGAACAAGCUAGAAUGAUCAUCUACUAACUAUAUUUCUCCCACAUCGUUUGUAUAUAGAGACUUUUGUGACUUCAUAUAUGAGAAACAAGACUGAUGCAUUCGCCGAGCUUUGUAACGUGGGCUUGUAACCCGAGUGGGGGCAACAAUGUGGUGGAAUGUUGGGUCCAUCUUGAUGGAUGGGCUUGAAGGGCUAAUGUUCUGGCCUGCCCUGUCCAAGCACAGAGUUGGGUCAAGUGGUCUAUACGAAAGUAUAGGCCACUUGGCCUUUAGAGUGGGAUGGACUGCGUGAGGCUGGUUUCACAGAGCAACGACUAGUCCCCGCUCUGUGCAGUGGAAGGAUCACGGGCUAGUGCUCUUUGAGUCCUAACAAAAACCUGAUAGGUUGCCUAAUUAAACCAUCACUUUUUUUGGGCCCUAAAUCUUGCAUAUUAUGUCUAUGUUGGUAUUUAUAUAAAAUCAUGUCAACUUACUAUACAUUAAAAGUAAUUUAAUAAGGAGAAAUUUGUAAUAAGUUAGCUCGUUUUGGCAAUCUAUUUGAAAUCGCAAGUACUAAUAGUGAUAAAGUAAUUAAUGUUAAGUACGUAACUAUAUAUAAAUACGAUUGCACUUUUUGUGAUCUCUUUUGUUCUAUAGUUUUGGUAAAUUCAAAUUUGAUUCAAGGCUCUUUUGAUCUACAAUCAAUCUCUUUAGCCGCGAGAAGAUUUGGGUCUGUCAAAAAAAACUAACACUUUUUCCAACGUUUCUACCGUAAGAUGGGAAGUCCUCCAUUAAAAAAAGCAGUCAAGCGAUGAAAUUGCGAAAUAGAAUAGUUUCCACUUUCUUGUAGCACCUUCUGUAUAAAAUCGUUAAAUGUCUAAUGAAAUAAUGUCACAGAUCUAGACUUGAUUGAGUUUUUAGUUUUUCAAAGUUUUAUUUACGCUAAUGUUAGGUAGACAUUGUGUCAUAUUCUCCCACAUCGUUUCUGAACAAUGACUUAUUUGUGUUUAUAUUUUAGAUAACAAGACUCAACAUCGCCGAGCCUUGUAAGUGGUGGAAUGUUAGACUGACACUGACGGCUGGGCUUGGAGGGCUAAUCUUUGGCUUGCGAAGGUAUAGGUUGCUUGGCCUUUAGAGUGGGAUGGACUGCGUGAGGUUGGUUUCACAGAGCAACGAAUAGUCCCCGCUUUGUGCAGUGGAAGGAUAACGAGCCGGUGCUUUUCAAGUUCAAUAAACACUUGAUGUGCUGUCUAUUUAAACCACCAUUUUUUUUGUUCACCCUAAUCAAAGGGUCUCGUGUUUGUGUUUGAUUCCUGGAUAUGGAAAGCGAUUCCUCCUUAAUGAGAUCCUACAGCUCUGUCAGUGGAAGGAUAACGAGCCGGUGCUUUCCAAGUUCAAUAAACACUGAUGUGCUGUCUAAUUAAACCACCAUUUUUUUGUUCCUCCUUAGUCAAAGGGUCUCGUGUUUGAUUCCUGGAUAUGAAAAGCUUGUGGAAGCUUUCGAAGCAGUUGGCCAAUAGGCAGCCUUGGUCUUAGUCUAGUUCAUUUUUGUUUUUUGUUCUUUCAUCAUUUCAAACUGUGUGUCAAAUGAGGUAUGAUGAAGUAUUCAGGAUAAUUUCACUGGUCAUAUUUAGAGGCGGAUCAAAGAUUUAAAUUUAAUAGGUUCGACAUUUAAGAUUCUUAAUAUUAAAUUCAUUACACUGCUAAAUUAUGAGUUCAGAUGUAAUAUGUCUUUGAUGUUUUACUCUCUGCCGGAAGCUAUACCCACUCACCCUGGUUACACUUCCAGCACUUGUACAAUUAAAUAUCUGCCACCGAAAAGGACAACAACAACAAUCCUGUAUAAUCUCACCAGUGGAGUUCGGAGAAAGUGAAAUGUAUGUACACCUUACUAAGCUUGUAUGGGGUUAGAGAUGUUAUUUCCGAUGAACGCUUGAAGAAAAAGGAAUCCAACAUUAGAGUGGGGUCAAAUGAUUUAUACGAAGGUAUUGGUUGCUUGUCUCUUUAGAGUUGGGCAGACUGCGUGAGGCUGAUUUCACAGAGCAACGAAUAGUAUCUACUCUAUGCAGUGGAAGGACAACGAGUCAGAGCUUUUCAAGUUCAAAAAACACCUGAUGGGCUGUCUAAUUAAACCA